UUUGGGUAUAUAUCCGUAAGUGGAAUAAGUAUAUCUAUUUUUAAUUUUUGGAGGAAACUCCCUAUUGUUUUUCAUAAUGACUGAAACAACUGCAUUACCACCAAUAUAGUGUAUGAGGGUUCCCUUUGCCUCACAGCCUUGCCAAGGCUUGUUAUCUCUUCUUGUCUUCUUGAGCUUAGCUAUUCUAACAGGUGUGAGGCGGUAUUUUCUUGUCAUUUUGAUUUGCAUUUCCUUGACGAUUAGUGAUGUUUAGUAUCUUUUAUGUACCUGUUGGCCAUUUGGAUGCCUUCAUUCAGCUCUUCCAGAUUUUUUACCUGCAAAUGUAAGUCAGGCCAACCGCGCAUCACAGUGGCCAACCAGUCAUCACUGAGAAAAAGGAUAAAGAACUCUGUCUUCAGCCUCAGCUCUUACUUAGGUGAGGAGUUACUGGGCCUUCAUUAGUGAAGUGCAUCUGACCCCACUUAGCUCCUGCUCCCUAUUUGUCUUUAUUAAUUAGGCUGCAGGGGUGGGAGGAUAAAGGAUUGGGACUUCAAACUUCUAAUAUGUAAUUCACGAAGGCUGGUUUCCACUGUCACUUCAAUUGGGACUAUAUUAAAGAAAUGUGUUCAGGGACGAAUCAAAGUGGAAGAGCAUGCUGCAAAUAAGGGAGCAAUUAGGUUGUUUGCAUAUUUUUGAACUUGAGUGUACGACUGAAGGAGAGUAGUCCUGUCUAGCUGCUCAUCCAUUCCACCUGGUCCCAGGCAGAGAUCGCUUGCCCUCCACAUUCUUCUAUCAGGCCAAGAUAGGACUCAACAUGUCAAGCCACACUUCUAUACUAUACCAAGCUGAAUCUGAGUACUGAAGGUGUGUGUGGGUUCUCACUCCUACCACCUUGUGGAGUAACACCGAUGCACCUGUUCUUUCUGUACUUCCUGCCCCCUGAAUCUUACUGAACUCCCAGACCCUUUCAAAACCCACUUCAGGAAGUACUCUGGGAAGGCUUUCCUGUCUCCCCAAAGAUGUAAAUGAUCUCAUUCUCUGUGCUACUUCCAUAUUUUAUAUAUUUUGAAUAUGAUAAGAGUACUUUCUACAUGUCACAGUGUCCUAAGUGCCAUAUAUUGACUCAUUUUUAAAAAUAUUAUUACAUUCCUUAACUCCGUACAGCAACAGCAGAAUGGCACAAAGUUGGCUGUGCAACAGAGAGCCAGCAAUUCUUUCACACUACAGCAUAACCAAGAAUGGGGACGAUUCUAUUCCACAGGCUUCAAUACAGUGCUGAUAUACUGACUCAUUUAACUUCCACCAUAAUUCUGGGGGUAGAUACUUAUUUUUAUUUACUUCACAGAGGAGGGAACUACCAGGCACACAAGCAAAUAACCUGCUCUAAAUGACCUGCUUUGAAUCCAUGCAGCUCUUAAAACAUUCUUCCAUGUACUUCUAUUGCUGCAUUUAAUACACUAUGUUGCUGUUUGUUUCCUUCCAAGUUUUCUUCAAUACUGUGAGGCUCUAAAAGCAAGGACCUGGGCAGCCCGCGUGGAUCAGCGGUUUAGCGCCACCUUCAGUCCAGGGCCUGAUCCUGGAGACCCAGGAUCGAGUCCCAUGUCAGGCUCCCUGCAUGGAGCCUGCUUCUCCCUCUGCCUGUGUCUCUGCCCGCUCCUCUCUCUGUUUCUCACGAAUAAAUAAAUAAAAUCUUUAAAAAAUAAAAAAUAAAAGCAAGGACCUGUUCAUAUUGAGCUCUGGAUCCCCAUUACUUGGCAGUCCCAAACUGAUGGACCUCCUUCGUGUUUACUGGGCCAUCCAUGGCAGAGACACUCAACUGGGCCUGGCCAAAUCACCAACUUUCUCAUAAGCUGGAGUGGUCUAGAAUUAAGUAAAUCAAGUACAUCGGCCAUCUGCAGUCAAUCUUGGGAAAUACCUCAUCUGAAUCUAGAGCAAAGAAAAAGGAACAUCAUUCUGUAAGAAACUCCAGAACCUCAAAAAAAAUUGGAAACUAAAUCUCUCAAGGUAAAACAACUCAGAAUCUAGAAUCGACUCUUUGGAUUCAAGAAAGCGAACUCACGAGACUUUGCUUGCCCAUUGGUAGGUCAAUCACGACUCCGUAAUAUUAAUAACAAAUAAUACAAACUACAAAAAAAUCAAAUGGGAGACAGGUGAAUUACAGCUGAGGGCAAUCAGCAGCAUGCACCCAUAAAAGUACACUUAACACACAUAAUAGCAACUAAAAGCCUGCAGUGCAGAGUACUAUUCUGGGAUUUGAGUCUGACUCUGCCCCCGACACCUGUAUGACCUUGGCUAGGUUCAACCUUUCAAUACCCGAUGUUCCACAUCUAUAAAACACAGGCAAAAGGAGAUCCAUGUUUUACUGUUGUUAUGAGGAUUAAAUGAGUAAUAGGAGUCAGAUGCUUAGCACAGUGCCAACGUACAGUAAGGGUCCAAUAAACAAGAGCUAUUAUUCUUCCUGCUUAUUUAGCAACUGAGGCAGAGAACUGCUGGCAUGUAAGGCACUUAUUACAAUCACCCAUCAGCCUUUGCUCCUGGUGCCUGGCACACAGGGAGUAUUGAGUGGGUUUUUGUGGAAUGAAUGAAUUGCCAAAGUGCUCUCCAGGCUUCCGUUUAAGGAGAGAAACUAGAAUGGCAACCAGAAAUAAGGCCUAAGUGUCCCCAAGGUCUAGUCCAGUGAACCCUUCUAUUAACGAGAUUGAUGUAUUACAGACGUCCACAGUAUGUGUUCAUAAUAAUGAUCCUUAGCCUUGUAUAAAUCCUCUUCUGUUUUAGGAAUUUUCAAUGGUUAAAUUACAUUCAAAGAAGUUUUAAAAUUAAGUAUGUAUUACUGCAUUCAAAGGCUUUAAGAAUUGGAAAUCCAUGUAGAGCAUAAAUGGCCACAAUGAAUUAACUGGAAUAUUCUGAUUGAUUGCAACACUCAGUUCACACUUCUCUGCCCACACAGCGUCGUAUCCGUCUACAUUCUCUAUUUCCCACUAGACUGUGAACGCCUCUGAUGUCUAGCACUUCAGUACCCACAGUGCCUGGGACAUAAUCAUGGUCAGUAAAUACUUGCCAAUAAACUGCCGCUGUGCUCGGCGGCCUCGUCACAUCACUGUGCUUAAUGCAGCAACAUAGCCUUUUGGUGUAUUACAUUCCCACAAAAACGAUACAAAUUUCCUAUCUUAAGAUUUUUAAUUACAAAUUUCAACAUUGAAAAAUAUGGUACGCUGUGAGAAAACCUUCUUUUAAAGAAAAUCCCUUAAAAUUUGGGGAUCCCUGGGUGGCUCAACGGUUUGGCCCAGGGCGUAAUCCUGGAGUUCCUCAUCAGGCUCCCUGCAUGGAGCCUGCUUCUCCCUCUGCCUGUGUCUUAGCGCCCUCGCCCCGUCUCUCAUGAAUAAAUAAAUAAAAUCUUAAAAAAAAAAAAAAGCAAUCUGAUUCCUCCUCUUACACAUGAAGAUAUUAGGCUCAGGAAACUGCUCUGCACUCAUGUCAGAAAGAAAAUUGAGUUGAAAAAAGAAAACCCGCUUAUCACCUCCUGGACUCCUACCCAAGUACCAGGGAAAAUGGCCUGUGUACUGGCAUGAAAGGUGGGUGCCCAGGAAGUGAAGUCCAACCCUAAAGCCCAGUGCCCCCAGGCUCCUAUCAUAGUCCACUGGGGUCUUUAACACCUAUCGAGGCCUAAGAGAAGCUGAUCUAAAGUACCCUACUUGGGUACUUGAAGUGUAGCAGGGACUAAAAUUUUAGCAAGAGGAACUUGACUUUAAAGGAGGGAGUUCAGUUUUCAUCCUCUCAAUAGGGAGGUUUUGGUGUUUGCAUUAAAGUAGGAUGCCAAAGACAAACCCCCUUUCUCUCACAACUUCUUCUGGGGUCUGCACCAUUUUCCUGGAGGGGAGAAACUAUGUAUGAGGGGGAAGGUUUCUGGAAAAGUACACUCUGGUUAUUCACUUUGGCCUGGAAGCAGAAUUCCCCCAAAGAGUGAUCAGGACUCAGUGAGUUGGGCAGGAAAUGGUUCUAUGAAAAUGGACAUUAUCUAUUUCUCAGAGCUAUUCCUGAGGAUUAAACGAGGUAUUUUAGAGCAUUUAUAACACACUGUCAGGCACAUAAGGGCAUAAUAAGUGUUUACUCUUAUUUCACUGUUAAGUACCAACAAUGAUGAAAAUAAGCCUCAAGGAAAAUUUGUUCAUAGACCAUUAGGAACAACUGCAACUCUGCUGAACUCCUUAAGGGCUGCUUCCAAUACAAUAGAGCAAAAACUGUUUUCUUUUUUAAGAUCUAUCAUUUUAGAAGUUACUGUGGCAACAUGUAAUUUCAAAUGUUUCCAAUGCCCAGCAAUCAUAAUAUAUUUACUACAGUUUGUUGGUUAAAACAUCCUAUAAGUGUGU
RNAcentral lists this long non-coding RNA (4346 nucleotides) under Canis lupus familiaris (dog). RNAcentral's name for it is "lncRNA (ENSCAFG00000056641.1)". Lineage: Eukaryota; Metazoa; Chordata; Mammalia; Carnivora; Canidae. The record is from RNAcentral.